This 72-nucleotide transfer RNA is filed under the name Equus asinus (donkey). It matches the Rfam family "tRNA". From Rfam's summary of the family: Transfer RNA (tRNA) molecules are approximately 80 nucleotides in length. Their secondary structure includes four short double-helical elements and three loops (D, anti-codon, and T loops). The record is from Rfam by way of RNAcentral. Lineage: Eukaryota; Metazoa; Chordata; Mammalia; Perissodactyla; Equidae. RNAcentral also lists the same sequence under 1 other name.
GCCCUGGUGGUCUAAUGGUUAAGAUUCUGCAUUCUCACUGCCAUGGCCCAGGUUCAUUUCCUGGUCAAGGAA